Molecule: non-coding RNA, 45 nt
Organism: Echinostoma caproni
Lineage: Eukaryota; Metazoa; Platyhelminthes; Trematoda; Plagiorchiida; Echinostomatidae
Source: Rfam
GCACUGCUGGCGAGUCCUAAACAGGACGAAACAGCUGUCCAGUGC